GAAAUAAGAUGAUCAAGUGAAAGCUGCUAACUUAUCACUUUAGCGGUUUGAAUCCGUUAAUAUUUCU
RNAcentral lists this transfer RNA (67 nucleotides) under Panchlora nivea. RNAcentral describes it as "tRNA-Ser". Lineage: Eukaryota; Metazoa; Arthropoda; Insecta; Blattodea; Blaberidae. The record is from RNAcentral.